UGGGGUUGUGUUGCCCUUGUCUUAUCAUGCCCUAGCACACGCCAUGGUUUCUAUACCCACACAUGUGGACGUUGCAAUCGAUGCUCAUCAUGGUGGUGGAGAGAAGAAAAUACAGACUACACAAAACUCCGAGCAAAUGACAAUGGAAGUAGGUUUUGUUGGCACUAUCAAUGAUAAUGAUAACACCGAUACCAGCAGACUCCAUUACACAGAACAUGAAGAAGUGGCAGAUGAAGCACCAUAUAAGUUAGAUGAUAAACUUGCCCAAACUUUGAUCGUUCCUCGUGUUGGAAUGGCUUUUGAAUCAGAGAACAAAGCAUGUGAGAUGUAUAACACCUAUGCUGGAAAGAUUGGGUCCAGUGUCAGAAAGAGCCAGAUCAAGCGUCGAUCAGAUGGAACUAUAUAUAAGAAUAUAUAGUUUGUUGUAACCAGCGACAACGAGAAACUGAGUCAUCACAUGACACUACUAGAACGGGUUGCAAUGCUUGUGUUCAGUUUAGUGUUUGUCGAAGUGGAUUUUGGACAGUUCAAAACGUUGUACUUGAACACAAUCAUUAUCUUGUUAGUCCAAAUAAGUCGCAUAAGUUGAGGUCCCAAUGACGUGUUGUAGAGGCAUAUAGGCAGUUAAUUGAUCAGAUACGGGAAGCCGGCAUGAAGCCUGCUUAAGUGUAUGAGUUAAUGGAGGAGUGGUAUGGAGGAGCUGACAAAGUGCCAUUCUCAAAGAUGGAUUGCAACAAUGAGGUCGUGAGCGCAAGAAGUACUUAGAAUCGAAUGACACACAAGCACUAGUAGAAUAUUUCAAGAAUAAGAAGAUUGAGGAUCCUGCAUUUUUAUGCCAUUCAAAUAGACAAGGAAGAUGAACGGAUAGCUAAUUUCUUUUGGGCAGAUGGUCAACCUAUUAUGGAUUAUGCAUGCUUUGGUGAUGCCCUGUCAUUUGACACCACUUUUGAUACUGAUAAGUUUGAAAUGCCUUUUGCUCCACUACUUGGGGCGAACCAUCACAAGCAGACAAUAAUUUUUGGUGUUGCCCUAUUUUUUAAUCAAAGUAUUCAAUCAUUUGUUUGGCUAUUUGAAACCUUUCUAACAGCAAUGUCGGCAAGCAUCCAAGCACAAUUUUCACUGAUCAAGACGCAGCUAUUGCAGCAGCGAUUGCUUUUAUAUUCCCAAGUACAAGCCAUCGUCUUUGCUUGUGGCAAAUUUAUCUAAAUGGGGGAAAACAUCUCAGUCAUGUCAUUCAUGAGCAUCCAAAUAAGUUUCUAGCUGAUUUUAAGAGAUGUGUCUAUGAAGAUAGAUAAGAGGAUUACUUCAAUAAGAUGUGGCAUGACUUGUUAAGUGAAUAUAAGCUUGAGGAGAACGCAUGGAUGUCAAAUCUUUAUAAUUUGAGGGGGGAAGUGGGCUAUUGUCUUCCUUGACUCUUUUACACCUGAUAUGACCUCGACUCAAAGGAGCGAAGGUAUGAAUAAUGUGUCCAACAAAAGGUUUCGUAGGAAACUCGGUCUAUCGGAACUCCUUGUGGAAUGUGAGAAGGUUGCCACCAGUCUCCAGGAAAAUGAGUUGGAUGCAGAUUUUAAGUCACGACACUUGAAUCCAAUAACUUACACCCAAAAUUUACCUAUGUUGAGGACUGCGGUUAAAUCAUAUACGAGGCAGAUGUAUUUUGGAGUUUGAAAAAGAGUUUAAAAACCAAUUUUCAUUGUCAUGUAAAUUGUUACAAACUGAGGGGUCAAUCUUGACCUUUAUGGUUAUGCCUAUGGAGUCUGCUCAUGAAGCAACAAUUAUAUUCAACACUGGAGAUGUGACAAUUACAUGUUCUUGUAGAAAGUAUGAAUCGUUGGUACACUGUGCAAGCAUGCCCUUAGAGUCCUCAAUGUGAAUGAUGUUUUCAUUUUGUCAUCUCAAUAUAUACUCAAUAGAUGGACAAAAUAUGCGAAAAGAGGAUUUUCUAUUGAGAAACAAGGAAGCAGCGAGAAGGAAACUUUGAAGAUACAUGCUGCACGUAUCUCUCGAAAGGCGACAUCCAUGGCAUUGAAGUGUUCCAUAUCAAAAGAACUUCUUGAUGAUUUAGAACAAGCCAUAAAUAAGUUGGACUUGGAAGUAGAUAGUUCUAUAAUCAAGAUGCAAGAAAAAUCCCAUGAGGUUCAUGUAGUUUCAUUUGAUUGUGUUGGACAUACAUUAAAUGGUGAAAUAUCGUUUAGAGUUCCUCAGGUGGUGAAGGGCCCAAAGAGUAGACGAUCGAAAGAUGUCGUCGAAAAGAAGAAAGGGAAGAAAACAAGAGGUGCUCCAGAGAAAGGUGAUGCUCUUAUUCAUUAUAUGUUGUUCUAGUUGAUUUUUUUUUUUGCCCUCUUUUAUCUUAUAUUUCUAAUCUAUAGGAAAAGAUGCAAAUAGUACAGCAGAAAAUAUAGAGGAUGGUGCUGAAUGUAAGACAUAUUGCUUAGACUGAUAAUUCUCUUUUCAUAAUUUAUUUACUUACAAGCAAUAAUUUGAUAAUUUUUGACACACGGAAUUCAUGUUGGUUCCACUGAAGAUAACAGUAUAGUGUCAAACUUUGGAAAUUAUGUGUGUGGGCAAUCUUCCACCAUUGCUCCUCCUCAUCUCCAAGGCGGAUAUACAAGUCUUUUACUUGGAGUUCAACAAAAUUCAACAUUGUUUUUAUCUGCUAAAAAGUUAUAUUUUGAUGAAUAACAUUUGAUGUAACCUAU
Oryza brachyantha (malo sina) is the source of this 2699-nucleotide long non-coding RNA. RefSeq lists it as uncharacterized. The record is from RefSeq and is a predicted model, not a curated record. The transcript is spliced from 4 exons. NCBI's taxonomy places the organism in Eukaryota, Viridiplantae, Streptophyta, Magnoliopsida, Poales, Poaceae.